Anopheles merus is the source of this 1483-nucleotide long non-coding RNA. RefSeq lists it as uncharacterized. The record is from RefSeq and is a predicted model, not a curated record. The transcript has 3 exons. NCBI's taxonomy places the organism in Eukaryota, Metazoa, Arthropoda, Insecta, Diptera, Culicidae.
UGUGCUUAAGUAAAGAGAAAUUGUACCAAAGAGUGCUAUGAGACGUUGAGCUGUUUAAUUAAACGUGAUUAAUGGAGAAGGAAAUGCUCCCCCGGCCGAAGGGUAUCAGAACGCAAAAGAUCACACUGCGGAUGGUGAGACGUUGUGUUUUUUUUUUCUCUUCAGCUUUGUUUUCUGUGCACUCUGCACUGUUUGCACAAUCUACUAUAAAGUGGUGAGAAAAUCCAAUUAAAAAAGCCUAGCGACGACGGAACGUUUCAUGUUUCGCUUUCACCAGAGCAGCGGUUGCGACGGAGAGGUUGCCAUUAUUCCGAACAACUUCCUCUACUUCCUCUCUCUUAAUGCUCUAUUGAUUCCCGUCACACCAUCACACCAGGGUGUGCCUGUCGGGUGCCGUUAACGAGUAGUGAUCGUUAUGGCGACACAAUUGAGCGCAGGAGGCCAUGCGAAAAUGGUUAAUUAAUGUGAAGGAGAAGUGAAAACAGAGUGCCAUCUAAUGGCAAACGUACACAGCUGCUCAAACGUCCAUUACUUGUCCAUUACACCGACAAGUGUACACACAGCCCUGCGUCGGCCAGUUUUGGAAGAAGAACCUCAUCGACGCAACGCCCCAGGAUAUGCUUACAUAGCAUGUUGAUCAUUCUCAUUAAGUUGCCAGUUAGAUUUGCUGGCAGCUUCGGACAGACAUACAGACAGACAGACGGGCUCUCGAAGCACUUUGCCUUCCAUCCAUUAGGUCAGUUUUGCUGCUUCUGCUGUUUGUUCUGUAUCUCUUUCCCUACUCCAGCAGCUUGCCAAAUGAGUACCACUUCUGGGGUGGUUCUGUUUUUGCAGGACGGUCCAGUUGCAGCUAGAGAGCCCCUAAAGGGAAUUUCAGAGGAGGCAGACAUAGAGUUUUCCCUAUUGAUUAAAUAUGCAUCACUGUCAAUAUGUUUGUGCUAGCACUGACUCCCAAACGUAGGAGUCGGACUGCUGCAAUGGCACAAGUGCUUGGUUACGGCACCUUCAAAACCUAGUGCCUAGUGAGUCCUUGACGUAUGUAUAUUUUCUGUGUGUUUGUGUGUUGGUGAGUGUGUUUGCGAGGCUACACAAGAAGGGCUUCUUGAAAGGGAUAAACUUUAUCGUACUUCAGCGCCGCUGCCAGAGAGUGUCUGGUGUGGUUUCUUUGCGCCCUUUUCCAUGCUUGAAGUGUUCUUUAUUAGUAACACUUCCAACGCCAAGAGCUGACGAAGGUAGAUCGUAUUCUUUAGAGUGGGCGCUUUGGUGGUGGUGCUUGCCUUGUGGGGCGGAAUCCAUCGAACACCGUUUACGACUCAAGACACUCAGGGGGCCGUGUUGGGAUUGGAGAUAUUUCAAUUUCGAUUUCCAUCGUCACUUGAGGGGUUGGUGCACAGCUACACUUCGCACACACGACCGGUGCCCAAAGUGCAUUCCAGGGAAAAGCGACACAAAGCAAAGACGAAAUAAAUAAACGGAAAGUGUA